Long non-coding RNA from Drosophila navojoa, 368 nucleotides. Lineage: Eukaryota; Metazoa; Arthropoda; Insecta; Diptera; Drosophilidae. The record is from RefSeq and is a predicted model, not a curated record.
CGCAAAUGGCAAUGAAUGGUCCAUGUAUGUAUGUGUUAUAUUGAUCAAUUGCUGGUCCACUGUUUGGUUUAGUUUAUUUUUUCCGUUCAAAUCAAUUUUGCAGUUAAGUUCAUAAAGUUGUAAUCAAAUAUCAAAUUUGUCUCUUACUCUUUUUCUUUAAUCUUUAUUAUUUUUUUGCGCUUCACAAAUCGUGUGCUCUUUGUUAUUUGUUUUUUCCAUUAUUAUUAUUAAAUAAUGUUUAGUGUAUAUGUAAAAUUCGUUAACGAACUCUGUAAAGAAAAACCAUAACAAUUGUAAAUUUGCAUACAGCUGCAACAACAAAUGAAACAAAUUUAGCGAAAAGGGCCAAACAACAACAAAAGUUAAAU